This 207-nucleotide ribosomal RNA is filed under the name uncultured bacterium. RNAcentral's name for it is "partial 16S ribosomal RNA". It matches the Rfam family "Bacterial small subunit ribosomal RNA", at positions 568 to 774 of the family's 1533-position model. The record is from RNAcentral.
CGUGUAGGCGGUUAUCCAAGUCAGGUGUGAAAGCCUUGAGCUCAACUCAAGAAAUGCACUUGGUACUGGGUGACUAGAGGACCGGAGAGGAUAGUGGAAUUCCCAGUGUAGUGGUGAAAUACGUAGAGAUUGGGAAGAACACCAGUGGCGAAGGCGGCUAUCUGGACGGUUUCUGACGCUAAGACGCGAAAGCGUGGGGAGCAAACA